This is a long non-coding RNA of Vulpes vulpes (red fox), 2402 nucleotides long. Lineage: Eukaryota; Metazoa; Chordata; Mammalia; Carnivora; Canidae. The record is from Ensembl.
GCGGGUGUAAAAUCAUUAAUGACGGGGUGUAAAAAUGUUCCAUGACCUGUUUAACGUCAUGGGAACUAGAAGCAACGAGCACAGAAUAGAUGGUGCCAGUUGCUCGUCAGCACGGGCAAUGUCGCUUCUCGGUGCACCGGUAGGUACCUGGUCCAUUGGGAGCGUGUCUGGGACAGGGACUCGCGGGUGUAGACGGGCACGGGCUGGUGGACACGAGCACCGGAGAGCAGUGAGCGUCGCUCCUUUGCUGGGGUCGGGGUGGGGGUAGAGGGGGAAGAGGCACCCAAGGGGAACAAGCAGAUGCUGCCUUUGGGGGCCCACAAAUAAACGCUCUGCUCCCCAAGCUUGCCAAGGGCUGGGUCCCCUUAGGCCCACGCGCCUGACCUUACGUGUUUAGGCUCACGCGUGCUCACGCAUGAUGCACGGUCUACAAACAAGGGGCUGCGGAAGCGGCUGCUUCGAGAAGGCUCCUGGGUGAAUGCAGAGAUCCCUGCCUACCCAGUGCCAGCUGGCUUCCUGAGAGAGGGGCACCCUCCCCUCUGCCACCUCGCCCUUUGCCAUUUCCCCCCAAAUUCCUGCACCUCUGCCCCCUUCCUCCAGGGAGCAAGUUGGGCCCUAGAAACCAGAACCCCUCGCCUUUCUCCAAGGACAGGUCUGCAUGGCCCGGCGCUUCAGAAACGCCGCGGGUUUCAAUCCUAAGGGGCGCCCGCCCCCGCCGCUCCGUGGAGCCAUAGUCCCGAGUAGCUUCGUGGUCUCAGAGAAGCCAUCGGGGCUGGCGGCCGGUGUCUGCUUUUCUGCACAUCAAGGAGACGAUCAGACCCUUCCGGAAAGUGGCCGGUUUUGUCCAGGGGCGUGUAAGGCUGCCUGGGAUCUGUCCUCCGUCCUUCACUCUCCCAUUAACCCAGUGUGGGGGGGGGACGGGGCCCCUUCCCUGACUUUUUUUUUUCACUUUAGCCUCCUCUUCUGCAUUGUUUUGUUUUGUCUUUUUUUUUUUUUUAAGCCUCUGUGCCCGGCUCCCAUUAUGGAAAGUGCUGUUUAUGUCCAGGGCCCCUUAAAAAGGCAGCUAACGGCUCCCUGGCUGCGGUCCUCCUGCUUGUUUCCCUGGCAACCGGAGGCAGGGAAAACAGAACCUGUCAGAUGGANGGAGGGGGGAGGGGGGAGCGGGAGGGGACCUCGGGGCCCACCCUGCCGCCACCCAGGCUGGCGCCCUGGCCCAGGCCAGCUAGUGGGCAGAGAGGCAGGCUGCUUAAGGGAGGGAGCUGCCCGCCCCAGCAGGGACCCUGGAGCAGUGGGGAGGAGCGGGUCCCCCCCAACAGGAUUAGCAGGAUGGUGCUGGAGCUGCCACCCCCUGCCCUGCCCAGCUGAUUAUCACAUUGUUUCAGAGGUACUUAGCUGGCUUUGACCUGCUGCUGUGGAGUCACCCCUGUGCCCUGGGCCGUCCAGACAGCCAGCGAGAGGUCAGCAGGAGGCCGGUGGGCAGCGCGAUGCUGCUCUGGCCCAGGACGUCGUUGGCGGAUACGGCCUCUGCCUCCAGGAUUUAUCGGGGGCUUGCCUACGCCCUUCUCUCAUCUGGAGAUCAGAGCCAGCAUCUGGGAGACACACGGUGCCCCCAGGGUGGUCUCCCUUGACCUCCACGUUGAAUCUGACAUGGAGCCUGACCAGUUACAUCUUUUAAAUAUUUCUUGGAUCUCCGCUUCUUUUCCGUUCCUAACACCAGGAUCCAAGUUCAGCCACCGAACUUUGUCCCUUUGGUGUUAAUUCAACUCCAAGCCCUGGCUGGCAGGACAGUUGAUGGAGAAUCUGAAUCUGGCCUCAUCUGCCCCAGCUCAGAGCCCUUUGAGGAUGCUCCAUUGUCUCCAGGGAAAAGCUGGGUUGCUGGGUGUGGCAUUCAAGGUCCCCCCGCCUGUCUGUCCUAACCCCAUCAACCCUUCCAGCUUUGUCUCCUGUUACUCCCUGCCUUUUAUGGGUCCACGGAAGCCAAACUGCCCUGGGGCCUCUGGCUGCCCACCGCAUACUUCCCAUUGUUAAAUUUGCCCCGUGCCUCAGAGCCUUGCUUGGCCCGGAAUGUCCUUCCCACCUCUACUAUCUUGUGUACCUGUAAUUUGUCCUUUCAGACAGCCGAGGCAUCAUCGGCUCCUCCAUCUCCUCCGUGUGCAUUUCCAAAUCCUCAGGUUGGGCUUGAUGCCCCCAGGUCGCUCAUGGGCAUCCUGUUGCUUGCCCAUGUGUGUGGAACAACCAGUUAAUAGGCCUACUGAGGGCUGGCAUGCCCAUCUCUGAGCCCUCAGCACCCACAGAGUCUGGCAAACAGGGAUGCUCCGGGCAAAAGUCUGCCAGGCAAAUCCCUGAGAGAGGGGAGAGCAGCCUGCAGGCCCCUGGCUGUCCCUGCACCUGCACACGCUACG